CCCCGGAAACCAUGCAGUAGACGUGAACCCAGAAGGAUUACUUGGUCCUUUUUUUUAUGAUCUCCACAACAUCAAACUCAACAACCUUCAAAAAAGCCACUAGUUCUCAGCAAGUCUUGCUGUGAUAAGCCCUUCCCAGAGCAGAGAAGGAAGACCAGUUCUUAUAUCAACGCAAGCUAAUUGAAUAAGUCAUUUGUUUUGGAUGAAGAAGAAACAUCUGGUGCCCAAAGAAGAC
This is a long non-coding RNA of Pimephales promelas (fathead minnow), 235 nucleotides long. RefSeq lists it as uncharacterized. The record is from RefSeq and is a predicted model, not a curated record. NCBI's taxonomy places the organism in Eukaryota, Metazoa, Chordata, Actinopteri, Cypriniformes, Leuciscidae.